This 396-nucleotide ribosomal RNA is filed under the name uncultured bacterium. RNAcentral's name for it is "bacterial SSU rRNA". It matches the Rfam family "Bacterial small subunit ribosomal RNA", at positions 28 to 429 of the family's 1533-position model. The record is from RNAcentral.
GACGAACGCUGGCGGCGUGCUUAACACAUGCAAGUCGAGCGGUAAGGCCCUUUCGGGGGUACACGAGCGGCGAACGGGUGAGUAACACGUGGGUGACCUGCCCUCAGCUCUGGGAUAAGCCCGGGAAACUGGGUCUAAUACCGGAUAUGACUCCAUGACGCAUGUUGUGGGGUGGGAAGCCUUGUGCGGCUGAGGAUGGGCCCGCGGCCUAUCAGCUUGUUGGUGGGGUGAUGGCCUACCAAGGCGACGACGGGUAGCCGGCCUGAGAGGGCGACCGGCCACACUGGGACUGAGACACGGCCCAGACUCCUACGGGAGGCAGCAGUGGGGAAUCUUGCGCAAUGGGCGAAAGCCUGACGCAGCGACGCCGCGUGAGGGAUGACGGCCUGGUGUAAC